ACGGGUGAGUAACACGUAUGCAAUCCACCCUAGUAACAGGGGGAGUAACCCGGAGAAAUCCGGACUAAUACCCCAUAAUAUGGGCGCUCCGCAUGGAGAGUCCAUUAAAGAGAGCAAUCUUGGUUACAGACGAGCAUGCGCUCCAUUAGCCAGUUGGCGGGGUAACGGCCCACCAAGGCGACGAUGGAUAGGGGUUCUGAGAGGAAGGUCCCCCACAUUGGAACUGAGACACGGUCCAA
RNAcentral lists this ribosomal RNA (239 nucleotides) under uncultured bacterium. RNAcentral's name for it is "partial 16S ribosomal RNA". It matches the Rfam family "Bacterial small subunit ribosomal RNA", at positions 102 to 334 of the family's 1533-position model. The record is from RNAcentral.